Molecule: unclassified non-coding RNA, 348 nt
Filed under: soil metagenome
Description: partial contains 5.8S ribosomal RNA, internal transcribed spacer 2, and large subunit ribosomal RNA
Rfam family: 5.8S ribosomal RNA (bases 1-120)
Source: RNAcentral
GAUGAAGAACGCAGCGAAAUGCGAUAAGUAAUGUGAAUUGCAGAAUUCAGUGAAUCAUCGAAUCUUUGAACGCACAUUGCGCCCGCCAGUAUUCUGGCGGGCAUGCCUGUCUGAGCGUCAUUUCAACCCUCAUGCCCCUAGGGCGUGGUGUUGGGGAUCGGCCAAAGCCCGCGAGGGACGGCCGGCCCCUAAAUCUAGUGGCGGACCCGUCGUGGCCUCCUCUGCGAAGUAGUGAUAUUCCGCAUCGGAGAGCGAUGAGCCCCUGCCGUUAAACCCCCACCUUUCCAAGGUUGACCUCAGAUCAGGUAGGAAUACCCGCUGAACUUAAGCAUAUCAAUAAGCGGAGGA